This 458-nucleotide ribosomal RNA is filed under the name Granulicatella adiacens. RNAcentral's name for it is "bacterial SSU rRNA". It matches the Rfam family "Bacterial small subunit ribosomal RNA", at positions 28 to 476 of the family's 1533-position model. The record is from RNAcentral. Lineage: Bacteria; Bacillati; Bacillota; Bacilli; Lactobacillales; Carnobacteriaceae.
GACGAACGCUGGCGGCGUGCUAAUACAUGCAAGUCGAACGAGAGCGACCGGUGCUUGCACUGGUCAAUCUAGUGGCGAACGGGUGAGUAACACGUGGGUAACCUGCCCAUCAGAGGGGGAUAACAUUCGGAAACGGAUGCUAAAACCGCAUAGGUCUUCGAACCGCAUGGUUUGAAGAGGAAAAGAGGCGCAAGCUUCUGCUGAUGGAUGGACCCGCGGUGCAUUAGCUAGUUGGUGAGGUAACGGCUCACCAAGGCCGUGAUGCAUAGCCGACCUGAGAGGGUGAUCGGCCACAUUGGGACUGAGACACGGCCCAAACUCCUACGGGAGGCAGCAGUAGGGAAUCUUCCGCAAUGGACGCAAGUCUGACGGAGCAACGCCGCGUGAGUGAAGAAGGUUUUCGGAUCGUAAAACUCUGUUGUUAGAGAAGAACAAGUGCUAGAGUAACUGUUAGCGCC